AUUAUAUAUAAUAUGAUAUAUAAAUGUUAUGUUAUAUAUAAUAUGAUAUAUAAAUGUUAUGUGUUAUAUAUAAUAUGAUAUAUAAAUGUUAUAUGUUAUAUAUAAUAUGAUAUAUAAAUGUUAUAUGUUAUAUAUAAUAUGAUAUAUAAAUGUUAUAUGUUAUAUAUAAUAUGAUAUAUAAAUGUUAUAUGUUAUAUAUAAUAUGAUAUAUAAAUGUUAUAUGUUAUAUAUGAUAUGAUAUAUAAAUGUUAUGUUAUAUAUAAUAUGAUAUAUAAAUGUUAUAUGUUAUAUAUAAUAUGAUAUAUAAAUGUUAUAUGUUAUAUAUAAUAUGAUAUAUAAAUGUUAUAUGUUAUAUAUAAUAUGAUAUAUAUAAAUGUUAUGUUAUAUAUAAUAUGAUAUAUAAAUGUUAUAUAUGUUAUAUAUAAUAUGAUAUAUAAAUGUUAUAUAUGUUAUAUAUAAUAUGAUAUAUAAAAAUGUUAAUUUUUAUGGGGACACCUGAAACACAGUAUAUAUACUAUAUAUAUAUAUAUAUAUACAUAUAUAUAUUUAUGCAAAAUGAAAUCUCACAUGUCUAGUUCAUGCACCAUGGUCAGACUGGGAUUGGGUUAAAGGCCUUAUUUGGAAAGGUAAAUGAGAUGGGAAAAGAAGACUGGCUUGAGGUUUGACUGCAGAGGCGUACUAUAUGUAUAUAGUAUGUUUUGAGUGUCUCCAUAAAAACUUAUGCUGAAAUUUAGUUGCCACUGAUGGAACUGGGAGGUGGGGCCUUAAAAGGUGAUUGGGUCAUGAGGGUAGAGCCCUCACGAAUGGAUUAAUGCCAUUAACACAGGAUUGAGUUAGUUCUAGGAAGUGCAUUAGUUCUCACAAGAGCAGCUCAUCAUAAAGGUGAGCUUAGCUUGCCCUUGCGGUCUCUUCUGCAUGUACUUCUUUGCCCUCUCCCCUUCUGUCAUGAAAGCCUUCACCAGAUGGUCAAGCAGAUGCUGGUGCCAUGCCCUUGAACUUCCCACCACCAUCCCCCACCUAGCCACUAUAUGGGUUGUUAGAUAUUUUGACCACCUCCUCUUCGCUCACUCCACUAUUCAACUCACUGCAUCAUCAAUGUACUUAUUACAAACCUGUCACAAGCCAGGUCUUAUGCUAGGUGCUCCUCUCAACAGGUUCUUGAGCUGGCAGGGGAGAGAGAGACAUUCAAACACCAAGGAUUAAUAUACCAUUACAGGUUUAAAGACAGAGGCCUAUAAGGGUCCCCUGGCAGUGCCAUGGAGGUAGGGCAUGGUCGGCUGUACCUGUAGAGGUGUCUAAAGGGAGGCUUGCAAGCUGCCCCUUGAAGGACGAGCAGAAAAUUGUACAUGAGGACAAGUAGGAAAGGAAUUCCAGGAGGAGGGAUCAGCAUGUGCAAAGGCAUGGAGGUUGUCCAUAGAAUGUAGAGAGAAAAUAUUAAAACCUAUAUUUAUACUAA
Homo sapiens (human) is the source of this 1456-nucleotide long non-coding RNA. Lineage: Eukaryota; Metazoa; Chordata; Mammalia; Primates; Hominidae. The record is from Ensembl.